RNAcentral lists this ribosomal RNA (563 nucleotides) under uncultured bacterium. Its description in RNAcentral is "partial 16S ribosomal RNA". It matches the Rfam family "Bacterial small subunit ribosomal RNA", at positions 355 to 939 of the family's 1533-position model. The record is from RNAcentral.
UGGGGAAUAUUGCACAAUGGGCGAAAGCCUGAUGCAGCAACGCCGCGUGAGUGAUGAAGGCCUUCGGGUUGUAAAGCUCUGUCUUUUGGGACGAUAAUGACGGUACCAAAGGAGGAAGCCACGGCUAACUACGUGCCAGCAGCCGCGGUAAUACGUAGGUGGCAAGCGUUGUCCGGAUUUACUGGGCGUAAAGGAUGCGUAGGCGGAUUUUUAAGUGAGAUGUGAAAUACCCGGGCUUAACUUGGGUGCUGCAUUUCAAACUGGGAAUCUAGAGUGCGGGAGAGGAGAAUGGAAUUCCUAGUGUAGCGGUGAAAUGCGUAGAGAUUAGGAAGAACACCAGUGGCGAAGGCGAUUCUCUGGACCGUAACUGACGCUGAGGCAUGAAAGCGUGGGUAGCAAACAGGAUUAGAUACCCUGGUAGUCCACGCCGUAAACGAUGAGUACUAGGUGUAGGAGGUAUCGACCCCUUCUGUGCCGCAGUUAACACAAUCAAGUACUCCGCCUGGGAAGUACGAUCGCAAGAUUAAAACUCAAAUGAAUUGACGGGGUCAAUAGCUGUUUCC